This 301-nucleotide ribosomal RNA is filed under the name uncultured bacterium. RNAcentral's name for it is "partial 16S ribosomal RNA". It matches the Rfam family "Bacterial small subunit ribosomal RNA", at positions 509 to 807 of the family's 1533-position model. The record is from RNAcentral.
CAGCCGCCGCGGUAAUACGGAGGAUCCGAGCGUUAUCCGGAAUUAUUGGGUUUAAAGGGUGCGUAGGCGGAUAGAUAAGUCAGUGGUGAAAGACGGUGGCUCAACCAUCGCAGUGCCGUUGAUACUGUUUAUCUUGAAUAUGGAUGAGGUAGGCGGAAUGUGGCAAGUAGCGGUGAAAUGCAUAGAUAUGCCACAGAACACCGAUUGCGAAGGCAGCUUACCAAGGCAAAAUUGACGCUGAGGCACGAAAGCGUGGGGAUCGAACAGGAUUAGAUACCCCGGUAGUCCCUGUCUCUUAUAC